This is a long non-coding RNA of Pseudophryne corroboree (corroboree frog), 369 nucleotides long. RefSeq lists it as uncharacterized. The transcript is spliced from 3 exons. NCBI's taxonomy places the organism in Eukaryota, Metazoa, Chordata, Amphibia, Anura, Myobatrachidae. The record is from RefSeq and is a predicted model, not a curated record.
UACUCCACGAUGCCUGUUUUUUUUGUGCCUCACAGGAAAAAGGCACAUCUGGAAGACUCCAGAUUUUAUUUUAUAUUUUUAUUCUUACUAUUUUACACUAAGACACAGCCCUUCCCAGCUUAUCAAGAAGCAAGGGUCCGGGUCUGUGUGAGCGCUGCUAGCAGCGCCAAACGGCUUGUCGGUGCUUGUUUAAGAAACCCCGCAGUAGACCGCAUACACAGCUUUGGCUGCAGGGAGCAGGUCGGUGCUUAACAGAGAAGCCCAGUCAGUCUCCAGAUUCCGCCAGCAUAGGAGGCACUGGACGCCUACCCAGAGCAGUUUCACCUGACUUGUGGGAUCAGAGCAGGCAGCAUACUGGGCAGAUUUAGG